This 496-nucleotide ribosomal RNA is filed under the name uncultured bacterium. RNAcentral describes it as "partial 16S ribosomal RNA". It matches the Rfam family "Bacterial small subunit ribosomal RNA", at positions 28 to 507 of the family's 1533-position model. The record is from RNAcentral.
GAUGAACGCUGGCGGCGUGCCUAAUACAUGCAAGUCGAGCGAACAGACGAGGAGCUUGCUCCUCUGACGUUAGCGGCGGACGGGUGAGUAACACGUGGAUAACCUACCUAUAAGACUGGGAUAACUUCGGGAAACCGGAGCUAAUACCGGAUAAUAUAUUGAACCGCAUGGUUCAAUAGUGAAAGACGGUUUUGCUGUCACUAUAGGAUGAACCGCGCCGCAUUAGCUAGUUGGUAAGGUAACGGCUUACCAAGGCAACGAUGCGUAGCCGACCUGAGAGGGUGAUCGGCCACACUGGAACUGAGACACGGUCCAGACUCCUACGGGAGGCAGCAGUAGGGAAUCUUCCGCAAUGGGCGAAAGCUUGACGGAGCAACGCCGCGUGAGUGAUGAAGGUCUUCGGAUCGUAAAACUCUGUUAUUAGGGAAGAACAAAUGUGUAAGUAACUAUGCACGUCUUGACGGUACCUAAUCAGAAAGCCACGGCUAACUACGUG